Molecule: long non-coding RNA, 690 nt
Organism: Xiphias gladius (swordfish)
Lineage: Eukaryota; Metazoa; Chordata; Actinopteri; Istiophoriformes; Xiphiidae
Exons: 4
Source: RefSeq, a predicted model, not a curated record
UGUGGUUACAGCAGACUGGAAGCCUAUAUAUGGGCAGAACUUCCUCAGACGUGAAACGUGGGGGUGAAUGGUCAACGUUGAGAAAUUCCUGCUGGCUAAUGGAAAUUGACAGCAUGCUAUGGCAUCUCGCAGGUGUAGUUCCCUUGUGUGGCCAGUGGACCGAACUGGGUCUGCAAGAGAUCGAGGUUCCUUCAGGGUGUGUUUAAUCUCCACUGCCUGCUUGCCUUUAACUAAAGGGUCUUUGCCUAGAUCUGGCGUAGAGAGAGGGAGAAAAUGCAGGUAUCCAGUAGGAUCACACUCAGUGCAGUCCGUCUUUGCUGCAUGCUGUGCAUAACCCUCUGCACACAGACACAGUUUUGAGAAAUGGGAAAGUACCACCAGCAUAAUGGAAACAACUAAAACCCUCGAGUUAAAUGUGGAUCAGUGGAAUGAAUGGAGUGUGAAGAAAAUCUGUCUUUCCACACAGCCCUUUCAAUUGGAAAUGGAGGAGGUAAAGUCUGAGGAAAACACAAUGCUGAAAUUGGGAAAAGACAGACUUACAGAGUCAGUAAAACUCUGUAAGUGUUAUUUAUGACUUACCAAUGUCAACAUCAACUGGUUCAGUCCAUCUCUCUUCCAGCACGUUAGAUAUCGAGCACAGGUAUGAUCCUCCAUGUUCAGCUGUCGCACAGUCAAUCUGCAUGCAUCACA